CGGAUUCUGGCUCAGGAUGAACGCUAGCGGCAGGCUUAACACAUGCAAGUCGAGGGGCAGCGCGAGUAGCAAUACUUGGCGGCGACCGGCGCAAGGGUGCGUAACGCGUGAGCAACAUGCCCGUAUCAGGGGGAUAAUCCAGGGAAACUUGGUCUAAUACCCCAUAGUAAUUUUGUAAGGCAUCUUAUAAGAUUUAAAGCUUUGGUGGAUACGGAUUGGCUCGCGUGACAUUAGCUGGAUGGUAAGGUAACGGCCUACCAUGGCUAUGAUGUCUAGGGGUUCUGAGAGGAAGGUCCCCCCACACUGGAACUGAGACACGGUCCAGACUCCUACGGGAGGCAGCAGUGAGGAAUAUUGGACAAUGGAUGGAAAUCUGAUCCAGCCAUGCCGCGUGAAGGAAAGAAGGUCCUAUGGAUUGUAAACUUCUUUUGUAUGGGAGCAAUAAGGCCUACGAGUAGGUUGAUGAGAGUACCAUACGAAUAAGCACCGGCUAACUCCGUGCCAGCAGCCGC
This 512-nucleotide ribosomal RNA is filed under the name uncultured bacterium. RNAcentral's name for it is "bacterial SSU rRNA". It matches the Rfam family "Bacterial small subunit ribosomal RNA", at positions 13 to 518 of the family's 1533-position model. The record is from RNAcentral.